RNAcentral lists this ribosomal RNA (446 nucleotides) under uncultured bacterium. RNAcentral's name for it is "bacterial SSU rRNA". It matches the Rfam family "Bacterial small subunit ribosomal RNA", at positions 330 to 792 of the family's 1533-position model. The record is from RNAcentral.
UCCAGACUCCUACGGGAGGCAGCAGUGGGGAAUAUUGCACAAUGGGCGAAAGCCUGAUGCAGCAACGCCGCGUGAAGGAAGACGGUUUUCGGAUUGUAAACUUCUGUUCUUAGUGAAGAAUAAUGACGGUAACUAAGGAGCAAGCCACGGCUAACUACGUGCCAGCAGCCGCGGUAAUACGUAGGGGGCAAGCGUUAUCCGGAUUUACUGGGUGUAAAGGGAGCGUAGACGGCGAUGCAAGUCAGAAGUGAAAGCCCGCGGCUCAACUGCGGGACUGCUUUUGAAACUGUAUAGCUUGAGUGCAGGAGAGGUAAGCGGAAUUCCUAGUGUAGCGGUGAAAUGCGUAGAUAUUAGGAGGAACACCAGUGGCGAAGGCGGCUUACUGGACUGUAACUGACGUUGAGGCUCGAAAGCGUGGGGAGCAAACAGGAUUAGAUACCCUGGUA